UGAGUACGAGAUGCUACGGCAUCGAAGCAGUCUAUGUCAUACUUCCAAGAAAAGCUUGCACUGUCAUAAACAAAGAAUGCCUGUACCAUAACCGACACAGGUGGGUAGGUAGAGUAUACUAAGGGGCGCGAGAUAACUCUCUCUAAGGAACUCGGCAAAAUGACUCCGUAACUUCGGGAGAAGGAGUGCCUUAUUUCUAAGGUUGCAAUAACAAGAUCCAAGCAACUGUUUACCAAAAACACAGGUCUCCGCUAAGUCGUAAGACGAUGUAUGGGGGCUGACGCCUGCCCAGUGCCAGAAGGUUAAAGAAGUUGGUUAGCAUUAGCGAAGCUGAUAACUGAAGCCCUGGUGAACGGCGGCCGUAACUAUAACGGUCCUAAGGUAGCGAAAUUCCUUGUCGGGUAAGUUCCGACCUGCACGAAUGGCGUAACGACUUCCCCACUGUCUCCGACAUCGACUCAGCGAAAUUGAAUUCCCCGUGAAGAUGCGGGGUACCCGCGGUCAGACGGAAAGACCCCGUGCACCUUUACUACAACUUUGCAGUGGUACUAGGUGGCGCAUGUGUAGGAUAGGUGGGAGCCAUUGAAGCCGGGCCGCUAGGUUCGGUGGAGGCACCCUUGAAAUACCACCCUUGCGGCACUUGGUAUCUAACCGCGGCCCGUUAUCCGGGUCCGGGACCCUGCAUGGUGGGUAGUUUGACUGGGGCGGUCGCCUCCCAAAGAGUAACGGAGGCGCGCGAAGGUUGGCUCAGGCUGGUCGGAAACCAGCCGUCGAGUGCAAGAGCAGAAGCCAGCCUGACUGCGAGAGCGACGGCUCGAGCAGAGACGAAAGUCGGCUCUAGUGAUCCGGUGGUCCCGCGUGGAAGGGCCAUCGCUCAACGGAUAAAAGGUACGCCGGGGAUAACAGGCUGAUACUCCCCAAGAGUCCCCAUCGACGGGAGUGUUUGGCACCUCGAUGUCGGCUCAUCACAUCCUGGGGCUGAAGCAGGUCCCAAGGGUUCGGCUGUUCGCCGAUUAAAGUGGUACGUGAGCUGGGUUUAGAACGUCGUGAGACAGUUCGGUCCCUAUCUGCCGUGGGUGUUCGAGACUUGCGAGGAUCUGCCCCUAGUACGAGAGGACCGGGGUGGACGAACCUCUGGUGGACCAGUUGUCGUGCCAACGGCACAGCUGGGUAGCUAAGUUCGGACAGGAUAACCGCUGAAAGCAUCUAAGCGGGAAACCCACCUCAAAACCAGGUCUCGCUCGAGAGCCGUGGAAGACCACCACGUUGAUAGGUCGGCUGUGGAAGCACCGCAAGGUGUGGAGCUAACCGAUCCUAAUCGCUC
RNAcentral lists this ribosomal RNA (1324 nucleotides) under metagenome. RNAcentral describes it as "bacterial LSU rRNA". It matches the Rfam family "Bacterial large subunit ribosomal RNA", at positions 1564 to 2910 of the family's 2925-position model. The record is from RNAcentral.